GAGUUUGAUCCUGGCUCAGAUUGAACGCUGGCGGAAUGCUUUACACAUGCAAGUCGAACGGCAGCACGGGAGCUUGCUCCUGGUGGCGAGUGGCGAACGGGUGAGUAAUGCGUCGGAACGUACCGAGUAAUGGGGGAUAACGCAGCGAAAGCUGUGCUAAUACCGCAUACGCCCUGAGGGGGAAAGUGGGGGAUCGCAAGACCUCACGUUAUUCGAGCGGCCGACGUCUGAUUAGCUAGUUGGUGGGGUAAUGGCCUACCAAGGCGACGAUCAGUAGCGGGUCUGAGAGGAUGAUCCGCCACACUGGGACUGAGACACGGCCCAGACUCCUACGGGAGGCAGCAGUGGGGAAUUUUGGACAAUGGGGGCAACCCUGAUCCAGCCAUUCCGCGUGAGUGAAGAAGGCCUUCGGGUUGUAAAGCUCUUUCAGCGGGAACGAAACGGUACGCUCUAACAUAGCGUGCUAAUGACGGUACCAGCAGAAGAAGCACCGGCUAACUACGUGCCAGCAGCCGCGGUAAUACGUAGGGUGCGAGCGUUAAUCGGAAUUACUGGGCGUAAAGCGUGCGCAGGCGGACUGUUAAGCAAGAUGUGAAAUCCCCGGGCUUAACCUGGGAAUGGCAUUUUGAACUGGCAGUCUAGAGUGUGUCAGAGGGGGGUGGAAUUCCACGUGUAGCAGUGAAAUGCGUAGAUAUGUGGAGGAACACCAAUGGCGAAGGCAGCCCCCUGGGAUAACACUGACGCUCAUGUACGAAAGCGUGGGGAGCAAACAGGAUUAGAUACCCUGGUAGUCG
RNAcentral lists this ribosomal RNA (794 nucleotides) under uncultured bacterium. RNAcentral's name for it is "bacterial SSU rRNA". It matches the Rfam family "Bacterial small subunit ribosomal RNA", at positions 9 to 796 of the family's 1533-position model. The record is from RNAcentral.